GAUGUCGUCGGCUUUAACUCCAA
RNAcentral lists this non-coding RNA (23 nucleotides) under Arabidopsis thaliana (thale cress). Lineage: Eukaryota; Viridiplantae; Streptophyta; Magnoliopsida; Brassicales; Brassicaceae. The record is from RNAcentral.